GUAACUGACGCUAAAGCUCGAAAGUGCGGGUAUCGAACAGGAUUAGAUACCCUGGUAGUCCGCACGGUAAACGAUGGAUGCCCGCUGUUGGCGAUACAAUGUCAGCGGCCAAGCGAAAGCGUUAAGCAUCCCACCUGGGGAGUACGCCGGCAACGGUGAAACUCAAAGGAAUUGACGGGGGCCCGCACAAGCGGAGGAACAUGUGGUUUAAUUCGAUGAUACGCGAGGAACCUUACCCGGGCUUGAACUGCCAGCGAACGAUUCAGAGAUGAUGAGGUCCUUCGGGACGCUGGUGGAGGUGCUGCAUGGUUGUCGUCAGCUCGUGCCGUGAGGUGUCGGCUUAAGUGCCAUAACGAGCGCAACCCUUUCUGGUAGUUGCCAUCAGGUUAAGCUGGGCACUCUGCCAGUACUGCCACCGUAAGGUGUGAGGAAGGUGGGGAUGACGUCAAAUCAGCACGGCCCUUACGUCCGGGGCUACACACGUGUUACAAUGGGUGGUACAGAGAGUCGGUCGCAGGCAAUUACGAUCUAAUCCUUAAAGCCAUCCUCAGUUCGGAUUGGGGUCUGCAACCCGACCCCAUGAAGCUGGAUUCGCUAGUA
This 600-nucleotide ribosomal RNA is filed under the name uncultured bacterium. Its description in RNAcentral is "bacterial SSU rRNA". It matches the Rfam family "Bacterial small subunit ribosomal RNA", at positions 736 to 1340 of the family's 1533-position model. The record is from RNAcentral.